CUGUGAGCUCGAUGAGUAGGGCGGGACACGUGGUAUCCUGUCUGAAUAUGGGGGGACCAUCCUCCAAGGCUAAAUACUCCUGACUGACCGAUAGUGAACCAGUACCGUGAGGGAAAGGCGAAAAGAACCCCGGCGAGGGGAGUGAAAAAGAACCUGAAACCGUGUACGUACAAGCAGUGGGAGCACGCUUAGGCGUGUGACUGCGUACCUUUUGUAUAAUGGGUCAGCGACUUAUAUUCUGUAGCAAGGUUAACCGAAUAGGGGAGCCGAAGGGAAACCGAGUCUUAACUGGGCGUUAAGUUGCAGGGUAUAGACCCGAAACCCGGUGAUCUAGCCAUGGGCAGGUUGAAGGUUGGGUAACACUAACUGGAGGACCGAACCGACUAAUGUUGAAAAAUUAGCGGAUGACUUGUGGCUGGGGGUGAAAGGCCAAUCAAACCGGGAGAUAGCUGGUUCUCCCCGAAAGCUAUUUAGGUAGCGCCUCGUGAAUUCAUCUCCGGGGGUAGAGCACUGUUUCGGCAAGGGGGUCAUCCCGACUUACCAACCCGAUGCAAACUGCGAAUACCGGAGAAUGUUAUCACGGGAGACACACGGCGGGUGCUAACGUCCGUCGUGAAGAGGGAAACAACCCAGACCGCCAGCUAAGGUCCCAAAGUCAUGGUUAAGUGGGAAACGAUGUGGGAAGGCCCAGACAGCCAGGAUGUUGGCUUAGAAGCAGCCAUCAUUUAAAGAAAGCGUAAUAGCUCACUGGUCGAGUCGGCCUGCGCGGAAGAUGUAACGGGGCUAAACCAUGCACCGAAGCUGCGGCAGCGACACUAUGUGUUGUUGGGUAGGGGAGCGUUCUGUAAGCCUGUGAAGGUGUACUGUGAGG
RNAcentral lists this ribosomal RNA (871 nucleotides) under Escherichia coli. RNAcentral describes it as "partial 23S ribosomal RNA". It matches the Rfam family "Bacterial large subunit ribosomal RNA", at positions 397 to 1268 of the family's 2925-position model. Lineage: Bacteria; Pseudomonadati; Pseudomonadota; Gammaproteobacteria; Enterobacterales; Enterobacteriaceae. The record is from RNAcentral.